This is a long non-coding RNA of Microplitis mediator, 363 nucleotides long. RefSeq lists it as uncharacterized. The record is from RefSeq and is a predicted model, not a curated record. Lineage: Eukaryota; Metazoa; Arthropoda; Insecta; Hymenoptera; Braconidae. The transcript has 3 exons.
UAAAGCUAGUGGACGCUCGUUACAGUUGAGAGGAUUUACUGAAAAUGUGUUUUACUCGCCAACCUGUUAAGAUUGCUGAUCCGGAAAUGGAUCUUUUACCAGUUUUACUGGGUGAAAUUUUGAUAGAGGUGCGGGCUCGUUGGUAUCUAGAUUCGGAUCCAAUCUUUUUGUUCGUUUCUCAUCAAUACGAGGUUGAUUGGAUCCAUUCGAUAGCACCACCCUUGCCCCCGAUAGAACCGGAUGGUCGCGCUCUUACCUUACUAGAGUGUGUCGUGACCAAUUUACAUUGGUAUUUUACGGACGAUGCUCUCAUUGGUAACAGCUGUUUAACGGAAGUUUUGAGAUUUAUCCGUCACAUUCGAG